Molecule: non-coding RNA, 133 nt
Filed under: Bacillus sp. CECT 9360
Lineage: Bacteria; Bacillati; Bacillota; Bacilli; Caryophanales; Bacillaceae
Description: FMN
Rfam family: FMN riboswitch aptamer (RFN element)
About the family: The RFN element is a highly conserved domain that is found frequently in the 5'-untranslated regions of prokaryotic mRNAs that encode for flavin mononucleotide (FMN) biosynthesis and transport proteins. This element is a metabolite-dependent riboswitch that directly binds FMN in the absence of proteins. In Bacillus subtilis, the riboswitch most likely controls gene expression by causing premature transcription termination within the 5' untranslated region of the ribDEAHT operon and precluding access to the ribosome-binding site of ypaA mRNA.
Source: RNAcentral
AUCUAUCUUCGGGGCGGAGUGCAAUUCUCCACCGGCGGUGAUGAAGCAUUGCUUCAAAGCCCGCGAGCUCUUCGGGGCAGAUUUGGUGUGAUUCCAAAGCCGACAGUUAUAGUCUGGAUGGGAGAAGAUGGGG